AUGAAUCCAAAUCCAUUUGAGAUCAAGAAGCAGCCAGUAUUAGUUGCUAAAAGAGCAAAUCCGCCAGCUCCUAAUGGUAACAGUAAAACUAUACAAGUUGAAGAUCGUAUUUCCGCAGAGGCAAGUCAGCUCAUAUUAGCCAUAACAAGUAUGGCACGCCUGCGUGGUGAAAAUGCCUCUGAAGGUGAGACCGUUCGCUUGGGAGAAUUCAAGGUACUGUCGUGUGUUGCUACCAUUGCUUAUGAGCCCCCGAAGUCUGGCAAGGUUGUUGAAAACCAGAAACUGGAAAUGAUCUGUAGGUGGGAAGACCGUAUGAAACCAACAGUGAAAUUGCGCCCAGCCGGAAAUAGUGAGGAGUAUUCAAAGGACCGGACCGAUCUAAAUACCCCAGCUGCCGAUGUCCUAUCUGAAGACAAGGAAGUGAUACCGAAGGCUGAGGCCCCAACAGACGGCCAGAAAAAGAAAGAAAAAGCAGGGAAAGGAAAGGAAAAGCAAGAGGACCAGAAAAACAAAGAAGUGCAGAAAAAGAACGAAGGGCAGAAAGAAAAAGCAGGGAAAUGA
Molecule: ribosomal RNA, 561 nt
Filed under: Triticum aestivum (bread wheat)
Lineage: Eukaryota; Viridiplantae; Streptophyta; Magnoliopsida; Poales; Poaceae
Description: partial small subunit ribosomal RNA
Source: RNAcentral